GGAGAGGUGUCCGAGUGGUUUAUGGUGCUGGUCUUGAAAACCAGUGUGGUUCACGCCACCGUGGGUUCGAAUCCCACCUUCUCCG
Molecule: transfer RNA, 85 nt
Filed under: Eubacterium sp.
Lineage: Bacteria; Bacillati; Bacillota; Clostridia; Eubacteriales; Eubacteriaceae
Also listed under: 1 other name
Description: tRNA-Ser
Rfam family: tRNA
About the family: Transfer RNA (tRNA) molecules are approximately 80 nucleotides in length. Their secondary structure includes four short double-helical elements and three loops (D, anti-codon, and T loops).
Source: RNAcentral